RNAcentral lists this ribosomal RNA (253 nucleotides) under uncultured bacterium. RNAcentral describes it as "partial 16S ribosomal RNA". It matches the Rfam family "Bacterial small subunit ribosomal RNA", at positions 524 to 776 of the family's 1533-position model. The record is from RNAcentral.
UACGUAGGUGGCAAGCGUUGUCCGGAUUUACUGGGCGUAAAGAGCGCGCAGGCGGUCGUUCAAGUCGAGUGUGAAAGCCCCCGGCUCAACUGGGGAGGGUCACUCGAUACUGAUCGACUCGAAGGCAGAAGAGGGAAGCGGAAUUCCCGGUGUAGUGGUGAAAUGCGUAGAUAUCGGGAGGAACACCAGUGGCGAAGGCGACUAUCUGGGCUGAAACUGACGCUGAGGCGCGAAGGCUAGGGGAGCAAACAGG